AUGUGUUUGUUCCCAUACAGAUUGCAUUUUUCCUUUUUAAAGAUAAGUGGAUUUGAUGCAUUUAGUUUUGCUGGUAUGUUGUGUGAUAAUUUAACUGAUCUCUUACUGUCUUUUCAGGCUGAAACUAUGAAAAUCAAUGCAUCAAACAUGUUUCUCCAAGGCCAAAUAAAAGAAGUUGAAGGACAUAUCACAGGAAUUUUAGGUAAACUGAGUAUCACUCAGGAAAAUCAAAGGAAGAUAUGGGAACUGAUAGAGAAAGUCUUGUUACGUGAAGAUGAAGACAGAGUUUCUGAGAAUCCAGAAGAAGAGUAAUGAAGUAAAGGAAGAUAAAUACUUGCCCGUCCAAAAGGACUCUUAACAUCCUGAAUUUGUACAAGUGGAACCCAGGCAUGAAAAAUGUACUGUUGGACCUUAGAAUACAAUAUUAAAACACAACUUCAAAACUGGAAACAUUAUUCCUUUUUUUUUUUUUUUUUUUUUUUUGCAUAUGUUAUUAUUGAUUGCUAUACUGUCUGCAUAACAAGCUAUAUGAUAUAUGUCCAUAUAUACUGGUAUAUUUCUAUAUAUGGAAAUGGUAUAUUUCCAUAUACCAUUUUCAGAAAACGUCUAGUGCUAAUAAUUGUUUAAUUAACUAGCUGUGUUUUUCUGUGAAGCUUUCACUAGACACUUCCCUCAUUCUGUCAUAAAUUCUCUAAACAGAGGAACUACUUCUAGAGGAAUAUCAGGUAUUAAACUCCCAGGACAAAACUCACAGCGGAAAGUUAUUUAAGUAAACUGAAGUUGCAUCUUCUAAAUAAGACAUGAAAGCUGGUCUUGAACUAGGCCUUGAAUUAUGGUGCCAAGUACUGGAACAUGAGCAUUAGUUCUGUCAGCCUUUUCAGGAUUUGUAAAUUUUGCCUUUCAUUUUAUGAAAUCUGUCUAUGGCUGCAAAAAUUUUGUGAAAACACAAUUCAGGUUCAGAUCAGGUAGGCACUUGCCUGAUUUCACAGAAAGUCUGAGAGAACAAGUCAAAGAAAAGAAAUAGUCCCUUUCUAUUGGAAGGGAAGUUAUAAAUACCAGUAAUUCAACUUAUGCUAUGAGGAUUGUUCUGUUUAUCUUUAUGAAUGAAUGUGAAGAAAAAGCAGGUAGGAGAAAGAUUACACUUUCACUUUUUUUUUUCCUUUUUUUUUUUUUUUUUAAUUGAAUCCAUGCUAAAGAAACAUCUUUAGGCCCAUGCAGGAUAAACCUGGGGACAAUGGAUUUUAUUAUUAUUAUUAUUAUUAUUAUUAAUUAAAAAAAAAAUAAAAAAUGGAAAGGGCUCAUGAGAAUAAUCACACAGCAUCAAGCAAGAGAAGUCCAGACAUACUCGUGACAAGACUCAUAGACACAGGGAUCUUGGUAUUUCUUCAAGCCUUUUAUUAUUUGAGAAAAUUUAAUGGCUAUUUCAAUUACUUUUUUUUUUUUUUUUUAAUAAGGUGGUUUCAUCAAAUUUCAUGAAUAGGUUAUCACUGUUGUAAGUGACUUUGCAAGGUGUCAUGUUGGAGAAGUUACUUCUUAGAGCUGACUUGUUAGGUGUUUUUUUUUUUGUUUGUUUGUUUGUUUUCCUUUCUUUAGGUGCAGAUCCAUAAAAACCUGUAGCUGCCAGAACUAAAAAAAUAAAAAAAAAAUUCUGCUUCCUUCUGUCUCAAGCUGCUAAGACUAGAUACACAUGAAGUCCAAUUCUGUAGUAGUCACAUUGUAUUCCUAUGGGAUAUGCCGUUGAGGCAUUAAUGUCCCUGUCUUUAACACAUGGACAUCUCACAGAAGGAUUCCAGCUUGUCCUAGGAGUUGUAUUUCAAAAUACGCUAUUUCUUCUUGUGUUUAUUUUUGACAUGUAGAUCCUUUAUUCUGUCCCCUGAGGAAGAACACAAGAAAAGGAAUGAUUAGGAGAAUAUCCCCCCCAGCAUUUUCUCCCACCUUUUAGUGAACUACUUUUUGUUUGAAACUGCAUUCUUUUGCUAUCCACGUUAGAGAGCAACUAAACAAGCCACGAUGAAAAAGGAAUAGAGAAAGAUAAUUAUAUUGUCUUCACAGUUUGCCACCCAAGAUUUCAGUUGACUGUGGAAACCUGCCAUGGAAUGAUAUUGUCACCAAGAAAUGUGAGAAGGCUAGAAAUUUCUACAGGUAACAAGAGUAGUCAGAAUUAUAACAAUUCAUGUUUAAAACAGAAAGAAAGUUGGAAGUAAGCCAGAAUCUAAUCUAUCUAUCUAAACUAUUGAGUAGAAAGGGGACUUCAUAUACCAACAUAUAGUGCCGCUCACUGCUGGAGACAGAGUUCUGUGGAAAAUGCUUCCUGAAUUUGGGUCCAUGGUGCCAAUUCCCAUGUCCUUAUUUUAGAGAUGGAAAAUUGGGAGCAGCUGUGAUUUCCCAGGAAUAUACUUUAGGAUGGUAAAGUAAAAUACUGUAACCACAAAGCCCCAGAUUCCAUAUUUUAUCUCUUUUUUCUCUCUCUCCCUGUGGUUUGGAGCCUUGCUGAUCAUUUCAAUAAAGUCACAGCAGGGGAAAGGAUAGAAAUGUGAUUUGAACUUUCUUCUGGUAAAAAUGUAUGCAUUAGUCUCUCAGUAUAAAACUGCCAUUAACCCAGAAAUGUUCUAUAUUAGCAUAUGAGUAAUUAUUGAUAUUUGUGAACUAGAAUGUGCAUUUUGGAAUCACUAAUUAUUACAGCAAAUUUUUAAUAAUUCUUGUAACCCUCAAUUUCUCUUUAUUGCAUUUAUGAAAUAAAUAUAGGGGCUCCCAGAAGGUGAAUGUGAUAUUAUUUUCUGUUCACCUCUCAUCAGGGACUCUGGAAAAAAUUUACAAACAUCAAUUAACUUUCACCAUGCUGACAUCUGGGAAAUAACUUCUUGAACCCAUGUUACAGAUAGAUAAAUAGGAGUUAAACAACUUGGUCUGGAUCAUGUAGUAGAUUGGGAAGAGUUCUCACACUGUCUCCCAGUUCCUAACUCAUGACUAACUAGUAAGCAUGCUGCCACAUGGUUUAUUUACAUUUUGAGUCUGUUUUAAUGGAUUAAGUUGCUGUUUCUUUUUCCUCUGAAUCAUCCAAAAUUUGGCAACACUGUAUGUUAAUAAAGCUUUUACAUACUUAGGCUAGUAUUUAUAGCUAAAGAAAAUAUUUAUUGUCACCUUUGGUUGUUUCUAACAUUUGUGUAUGCUGUUAGCACAGAAUGCUAGCAAGCAAAGCACAAAUAAUUUUUUGUCGUUCUUUUUAAGACUUGUUACCACUGAAAACAGGACAGUGGGAGCUUUUGGAUCAGUUCCUUAUGCUCAUAUUCCCCAGUUAGUUUCAUUUUUGCUUACACAGUAGCCUUUCAGCUUACAAAUAUUUUUAUGGUGGUGGUUGAUAAGGCAUGCCCAAGAUGAUGAGGAGCUGCUUUUUCCUAAUGUGGAUUUGUGGAUUCUUAUAUACUUACCAACUCAGCUUAGACUGAUUAUUAACUUUAUUUUUGGAGUUUUCCAUUGUAAGUUUUUUGUUUGUUUGUUUGUUUUUCCUAUGUUACUUGUAGCCCCUUUCAGAUCAACAGUGGUAUAUCUGAUUAUUGAUGGACGUGUAAAACUUCUGUUUUUUAUAAUUACUAUCUUUCCAUUUCUGGCUGCUCUAAGUAAUUAAACCAUGUCCAUGGAGGUUCUUUAAAGGUCAUAUCAGUUGUUCUUUAUGUGUGAUUUUCUUUAUAAAGCCAGAGGGACCACUACUAUUGUAGUCACAAUGUGGUACUGGAGGAUUUACUUCCAUGCCAAAACAAAAUAAAAAAAAAAAUAGGACAUUAUCAUUAUAUUAUUAGAAGUUCCUGGAACUAUUUCUCCUGAAUACAAGGUGGUGCCAAAGAAAACUAGGUACAUUGCUGUACCAAUGACUUUCAAGUUUUAGGGACAUUCUCUCAGGAGAAAGCCAUUCAUAGUCAUUUGUGAGAUUUAGAGAUGCCAACUGGUUAUCUCAUUUUGGAGCUGAGAUGGACAUUUAUUGGAACAGAUGGGUAGGUACACUAUGAUAAUUCUCUUUGUAAUAUGAAGCAUUAUUAUUUAAAAGUAUAUCAUAUUAUACCUGGUUUGUUGGUUGAGGGAGCAGUCAGCAGAGGCAUUAUUACCCCAAAGUGACUGGUUAUUGCUAUCUGUUCUGAAAUGAAAUCCAGUUAUACGAUGCACAUCUAUACUAGCAAAGUGACAGUAUAAAGUAGGAUUAGCUAACUUAUCUAUGUAUAAAGAAAUGUAAGUUAAUAACAUGAAAAAGACCUACAGAAGGACUUGAAAUUGCCCAGACUGGCCCAAGGGGAUAACCUAGCCGUCUGUUACCAUUUGGGCAAGUGAUAAUCACACCUAAUCAUGCCCAGUGGACACCAAUAUUUCCAGAGAAUAUGGGAGCACCCAGAGGGUGUGAGAUCAAAGGAAACAUUUGAAGAAAGAAGAGACAGGGAAAAAGAAGAUCUAGAAGAGCUCUGAGGAGCUGGGAAGAAGCAGGAAGUAGAGAAUCCCCAAUCAAAUUUUCUUCAAGAUUUAAAAAAAUAUUUCCUUUCUGUUAAGUGACUAGAUGCUGGUACUUGAUCUCUGAAUAUCUAAGAGUGAGUCAGCUGCACCAUGCAUAUUCGUGUGAACCAUUAGAGCUGAGUGAAGUAAGAGGCUUUACUUUAAUCUUUCAUAUUUUUUUCUAUAAAUUUUGUAACUUUUAUCUUUUUAGCUUCAAUCAAUAAAUGGCCUAUUUUACAAUUAGUUUAGCUUGAGUUCAAGUUGAUUUCAGGGUGCUGGCAAAUGUCAAGAUCAGUUAUGUGUUCUGGGUAAGGAAACUUAAACCUGACUGCAGGACUUACUUAUUUCCACUAUCCAUUGUUCUUGGUUUCCAAAAGGAAUCUCAGCAGCUACCCAGCUACGUGUGCCAGUUUACAAGCUGAAGUAACAGUCAUAUAUGUGGAAGAAGCCUCUUUUGGCUAACAGCAUUAAGCCCAACCCUUAAAGAAGUGAGUGGUAUGUGACAUUUAGUUUAGAAAGAAUUUUUAAAAAGCUAUUUUUUCCUUGGAAAACAUUAGAAAAUAUUCAUGAUAUAAGCUAGAGAGGGUGAUCUGAGGAGGCGAUUUUUGAUAAAGGUAAGAAUGGAAGGAUAAGCUGUUGUCCUGGUUUCAGUUAGAACAGAGUUAAUUUUCUUCCUAGUAGCUAGUGGAAUGCUGUGUUUUGGCUUAGGAUGAGAAGAGUGCUGAUAACA
Molecule: long non-coding RNA, 5206 nt
Filed under: Cairina moschata (Muscovy duck)
Lineage: Eukaryota; Metazoa; Chordata; Aves; Anseriformes; Anatidae
Description: domestica (muscovy Duck (domestic type)) lncRNA (ENSCMMG00000000105.1)
Source: RNAcentral